RNAcentral lists this long non-coding RNA (275 nucleotides) under Bos taurus (domestic cattle). RNAcentral's name for it is "long non-coding RNA NONBTAT010583". The record is from RNAcentral. Lineage: Eukaryota; Metazoa; Chordata; Mammalia; Artiodactyla; Bovidae.
UAAGCAUAAAAUAGUCAUUUUUAUUUUAUAAGCAUAAAAUAGUCAUUUUAUGCAGCUUGUGCUUAGGCCUCACUCAGUAAUGCUGUUUUUCAAGACUCAAUUCUGCUUUUGCAAACAGUAUAAGUCUAACGAUGUUUCACAGAUGAUCCAAGAGCUUGUGAGGUUUGCUGCUCACUGGACAGCAAGCAGCUGUCCAGGACUGGAGAGAACCAGUGCAGAAGGCACAGACCAGCCUGUGCAUCUGUAACACAGCACAAGGCUGCUUUUACCCAUCA